GCCCAGACUCCUACGGGAGGCAGCAGUGGGGAAUAUUGGGCAAUGGGCGCAAGCCUGACCCAGCAAUGCCGCGUGAAGGAAGAAGGCUUUCGGGUUGUAAACUUCUUUGACAGGGGAAGAGCAGAAGACGGUACCCUGAAAACAAGCCACGGCUAACUACGUGCCAGCAGCCGCGGUAAUACGUAGGCGGCAAGCGUUGUCCGGAUUUACUGGGUGUAAAGGGCGUGUAGCCGGGAAGGCAAGUCAGAUGUGAAAUCCGGAGGCUCAACCUCCGAAUUGCAUUUGAAACUGUUUUUCUUGAGUACUGGAGAGGCAGACGGAAUUCCUUGUGUAGCGGUGAAAUGCGUAGAGAUCGGGAGGAACACCAGUGGCGAAGGCGGCCUGCUGGGCUUUAACUGACGCUCAGGCACGAAAGCAUGGGUAGCAAACAGGAUUAGAUACCCCGGUAGG
RNAcentral lists this ribosomal RNA (450 nucleotides) under uncultured bacterium. RNAcentral's name for it is "bacterial SSU rRNA". It matches the Rfam family "Bacterial small subunit ribosomal RNA", at positions 329 to 794 of the family's 1533-position model. The record is from RNAcentral.